This 497-nucleotide ribosomal RNA is filed under the name uncultured bacterium. Its description in RNAcentral is "partial 16S ribosomal RNA". It matches the Rfam family "Bacterial small subunit ribosomal RNA", at positions 28 to 507 of the family's 1533-position model. The record is from RNAcentral.
GAUGAACGCUGGCGGCGUGCCUAAUACAUGCAAGUCGAGCGAACAGACGAGGAGCUUGCUUUUCUGACGUUAGCGGCGGACGGGUGAGUAACACGUGGAUAACCUACCUAUAAGACUGGGAUAACUUCGGGAAACCGGAGCUAAUACCGGAUAAUAUAUUGAACCGCAUGGUUCAAUAGUGAAAGACGGUCUUGCUGUCACUUAUAGAUGGAUCCGCGCUGCAUUAGCUAGUUGGUAAGGUAACGGCUUACCAAGGCAACGAUGCAUAGCCGACCUGAGAGGGUGAUCGGCCACACUGGAACUGAGACACGGUCCAGACUCCUACGGGAGGCAGCAGUAGGGAAUCUUCCGCAAUGGGCGAAAGCCUGACGGAGCAACGCCGCGUGAGUGAUGAAGGUCUUCGGAUCGUAAAACUCUGUUAUUAGGGAAGAACAAAUGUGUAAGUAACUAUGCACGUCUUGACGGUACCUAAUCAGAAAGCCACGGCUAACUACGUG